This is a non-coding RNA of Oryctolagus cuniculus (rabbit), 2535 nucleotides long. NCBI's taxonomy places the organism in Eukaryota, Metazoa, Chordata, Mammalia, Lagomorpha, Leporidae. The record is from RefSeq and is a predicted model, not a curated record.
AACACUUCUGUAACAAACAAACAAAAAAGAUGUUAAUGCAAAUCCACAGGGCUUCCAGGUUGACGGAAGUGUUUUCACUCCUAAUUAAGAAAUUACAGUUCUGUAUCAACAUUUCCCUCUGAAACAGGAAGUUAUACAAAUAGAGUUGCUGGGCACAAUACAGAAUACUCAGCUAAAUCCAAAUUUCAUGGAAACAACAACUCAAUACUGUUGUAGAGGUAUGUCCUAAGUGUUGUACAGCACACACUCCUAAUUUAUUCAUUGUUUAUCUGAGAUUCAAAUGUAGCUGGGAGUCCUGUAGUUUUUGUUUGCUAAAUCUGGCAACUCUACCCAAAACCCUUCAACUGCGAAAAGCAACCGCUAUGAAGCUGUUUAGACUCAGUAACUAUGAAAGCCAAGAGAAUAUAGAAAUUAGAGACACUUACCGUGCCAGACCUUGCUGCUCCUCUUCUUCAGCAUCCCAGUAACCCAAGCAAGAAGCUCCGUCUUUGGGGAAGCAGGUGGACCAAAGCUGGCAGCCCUCAACAUGACACUGUGUCUUGUCAAUUACUUGCUGGGCCUUUAGGUCUGAACACUGUGCUUGGCUUUUUAGAAGCUGCCUUCAGUCGGCAAGGCAUAUUCAUGGCCCAAGUUGUGUUCAUUUUCAGAGAUCUGCCAAUCAGAGAAUACCUGUCUCUGUCCCCUAAUAAAAUAUGUUCCCAAUUCUAUCACAUCAGCCAUCCAUGCCCCAGCAAUAUUCCCUCUGCUUAUUAAAGGCAUAGAUCCUGAGCAGAUGCUGUCUCCUCUGGGCAUUGUUCCCCACUCCCAUGCAAGGAAGAGUGAGCAUCUUUGUGCAAAGACAUGGAAGGUUCAUGAAGUCAGUUACAAUGGGAUAUAAGUGUGUGCUCACCAUUUGUUAUGAAUAAAAAACGUAAAUGUGCAUAAGCCAGUCUGGAAGACUGUGCUUCAAAAUGUUGAUGAUUAUUAACCUUUAUGAUUAUGGAACUUAAGGGUGAUUGUCUUUGUGUUGAUUUAUUUAUCCUAGCUGUAACUUGAACCCCAAUCCCUUCCUCUAUGUUUGCAACUUUCCAGGUCACUUCUCAACAUGGUACAACCUCAAUCACUUUAAAGCUGUGUCUCAAACUUUACAGCACACAACUAUACGGAGAGCUGGCGUAAAUGCAGAUUCUGCAGCCCACCCCACAGAAUCUGCUUUAGCGCUUAUAAGGGCAUGGUCUUGUUCACAGUCGUCUACCCUGUACCUAGCACGUAGUGAGUGCCCAACCUACCCGCGCUCAGGAGCUGGAUGAAAUCGGCUCCUGCUACAGGAUGACAGCCUGAGAAACCAGGACAGGCCUUGCCCCCGGGGACCCCCCCAGGAUUCUCCCGGCAACCUCAGCUCCUAAGCUCUCAGAGGAAAGGACACCCCGUGGCAGCCCGGGAGAAUGCGGAGGAUCUGCAGCAACAUAACCACAGCCGUCUCAGCUAAGGCCAUUGCCCCUUUGUGCCGUCGGCUUCUGGAUUCUGAGCCACGGACCCAAGCUCCAGCAGAGCAAGAAGAAGCAGACCCACAGCUGUUGUCAGACCCCACGGGAGCCGCACGUCGGGGAGGAGGACGCGCAACUCCAGCCUCUGCUGAGGCUACUGUCUCGGCUGUGGCUCGUCAUUUGAAUAAAAAUCAAAUGACUUAGGAUCUGUCCAGAAUGAAGGAUGUUUUAAUACUUUGUGUGUAAAAACACUGAUAUUUUGCUGCUUUUUUAUUAAACAGAUUUUAUUAUUUUUCAGAAUCUUGUCAGCAUAAUCGUUUUAUGGGCGGAUGAAAUAUUCAGCCCUGCCACUGCUGGAGCUCUUUCACGGCAAUUACCUUGUGGCACUUGGGCUGUAAUUAGUUUUUUUUUCGCCCAGGAUUUUUCUCUGGGUCUGGGUAAUAAAUGAAAUAUGACCAGAAUUUAAAUUUGUCAAUUACAAGCAUGCAUCGUGCAUAAACACUCAGCACAGCCAUGAAUCCCAAACCACAGGCUGUUGCUGGGAGGGGUUGGGGCGGAGGCGGGGUGGGGGGCAGAUGCUCUGAAAAUUAAAAUGGAAAUAAAACUACUGCCUAGCAAGCGAAAAAUAGCCCCCAAAGAAAGCUGAUUUCCCGCAGCGUUCAUGCGUGGUUCUCCGCCCCCACCCGAGGGAGCGCGCUCUAGAUUACAAUUCUGCAGCGUGAAAGUGAGGACUGGAGGAGCAAGCCGUGAACUUGUGGGAGAAUAAUCUGCCCGGAGCUCUGACCUCCCGCCCUGUGGCUUCCUGUUUCCAGUGUCAGAUGCAAAGGUUCUGGGACAGGGCCACCCGGCGCCCACUGCAUUAUACAGACUGGUGGUGGGAGGCUUCCCAGUGAGCUGUGGAUGGAUUGGCAGAUGUGGCACCGGGAUCCACAGUGGCCCAGCAGCGGCAGGCUUCUUUCCCGGAGCUGACUCCAUCACUGCUCCUGUGGGGCCCUCUGCCGACCAGCUCUUGUACCGGCGAAAUCGCACAGCUGAGAGAUGGUGAUAAAUCACCGCUUAAACCAACGCC